Long non-coding RNA from Mytilus trossulus (common blue mussel), 731 nucleotides. RefSeq lists it as uncharacterized. The record is from RefSeq and is a predicted model, not a curated record. The transcript has 4 exons. Lineage: Eukaryota; Metazoa; Mollusca; Bivalvia; Mytilida; Mytilidae.
AGAAUUGCAGGGCAAUAUACAGUUACUGAUCUUUUAUGAACACAACGAUUAGAAUUAAAAUACACAUAGGUAGAAAAGAGGCUAUAAAUUGUACAUGUACAGUGACAAAUGAUAACAGUGUGAAUGUGAAAAAUUGUGAGCUCUGCACAUCUACCUCAAGCAAUUUUCGUGCUAAUGGCAGAAUAAAGUAAUUAAAAUAGCUGCCAAGGGGGAAAUCAUCAGAAAUUUAUGUAAAGAGGAACCUCCUAAAAGAAAAGACAAUUCUGAAACAAAAUCAACUAAUGUACAAAAGAUUGAUGAAACUCAUCAACAAAGGACAAACAACACAAAAACCUCUUAUGUUGUCCCGAAAAAACGUCAGAUCAAGCACAGAAAUUUACUAAAGGCGAAUUUUCAAAAUUAAUGCUGGAUAGAAGCAAUAUGCAUCUCGAUAUUUUGAAAUAUAUUCAAAAUUGUUCAACUACAUUAAAUUAAUGCCAAAAGUAGGAGACCCCGCGAAUAGUUGUGAAGACUAUGCUGAUAAAACUAGGAAUUUUACUUAGGAGCAAAGAUCAGCAAUCCUAAAAUAUUUAUGUGACAAUGUUCAUCCAAUCACCUUGCAACACCUUGAUGUACAUGUACCAAGUCUAAUUCAUGUCACUAUUACAUGCACUUUGAUACACAGACCAUCCAACUUUGAUUCAGGCUUUUUACAUCAUAUGGCUGAUCUAGAUGCAGUUUUAAGAGCACAG